Long non-coding RNA from Homo sapiens (human), 402 nucleotides. Lineage: Eukaryota; Metazoa; Chordata; Mammalia; Primates; Hominidae. The record is from Ensembl.
GUUUGAGGAGACUCAGAGUCACUGUCAAGUCGUCAAGGACCUGGGUCACCCUGCAUCCCCAUCUGGGGCUCCUUCUAUAUCAGUUUUCCUGAAGCUUAGUCCAACUUCUUGAAGUGGGCCAAGAAAAGGCUGUUUCCAGAAUUGGAUAUUGCAUCUCUAAAACACAAGCUUCACUGAUGUCGUGGAGUCUAUGAGACACAAACUUUAUCUCAUAUGGUAGAAUCCGGAAUGAUCAGCCAUCGCUUCACACCCAAGGAAAGAACUGCUGUCCAGUGCCAGGCCCAGAGCUUCAUGGUUUGUGGCAAGUCUUUGGAAAGAUAACGUCUAACUUCAUUCAUUUUAGCUGAAAAUACCCCAUGGUGGCAUUUUUCUGGUCUCCCUACUAAAAAAGUGAGCAUGACA